GACGAACGCUGGCGGCGUGCUUAACACAUGCAAGUCGAACGGAAAGGCCCUGCUUUUGUGGGGUGCUCGAGUGGCGAACGGGUGAGUAACACGUGAGUAACCUGCCCUUGACUUUGGGAUAACUUCAGGAAACUGGGGCUAAUACCGGAUAGGAGCUCCUGCUGCAUGGUGGGGGUUGGAAAGUUUCGGCGGUUGGGGAUGGACUCGCGGCUUAUCAGCUUGUUGGUGGGGUAGUGGCUUACCAAGGCUUUGACGGGUAGCCGGCCUGAGAGGGUGACCGGCCACAUUGGGACUGAGAUACGGCCCAGACUCCUACGGGAGGCAGCAGUGGGGAAUAUUGCACAAUGGGCGGAAGCCUGAUGCAGCAACGCCGCGUGCGGGAUGACGGCCUUCGGGUUGUAAACCGCUUUCGCCAGUGACGAAGCGUGGGUGACGGUAAUGGGUAAAGAAGCACCGGCUAACUACGUG
Molecule: ribosomal RNA, 468 nt
Filed under: uncultured bacterium
Lineage: Bacteria
Description: partial 16S ribosomal RNA
Rfam family: Bacterial small subunit ribosomal RNA
Source: RNAcentral